GGAAUCGCCAUCGGCCAAUUUCGUGUUGGCCUUAGAAGAUGCCGUUUACGUAUGUCCAAUCAACAACUCUAACGCAACUGAAAUUUGCAACAACGACGUCGACAUGGGAGACCCAUUCCGUCUUGUUAUCUUGAAUAGCACAGGUGAUUCGAUCAUCUGCGGAUCACUGGGCGGUGAAAUUCAAAUCGUUUGCAGCCUUCCGAAUUCGAUCGAUCGCACUGGAACAAGAUCAACUACUACAGACCUGUUUUCUUCGAUGCAGAAAAUUUAAAGUGACGCAACAAUUUCCUCUUCUACUAACCAUCCAGUGAAAUGAGUGGAUUUGGAAGCGUCGUCCAUCAGACACACUUCACUUGAUAUGCC
Molecule: long non-coding RNA, 363 nt
Organism: Daphnia pulex (common water flea)
Lineage: Eukaryota; Metazoa; Arthropoda; Branchiopoda; Diplostraca; Daphniidae
Exons: 3
Source: RefSeq, a predicted model, not a curated record